GGGGUCGUUACGGAUUCGACAGGCACUAUGAGAUACAUUCUGCGACUCAUCGGCAGAUGUAAAAAUGCCAGUUAAAUAUAACUGACAAAAAAUACAAAUUCUUACGCUGUAGCUGCCUAAAAACCAGCUCGCGUGAUCUCUACAGGAUUGCUUGUGUUUUGCUAGAGGUUUCAUUGAUUAGCAAGCUACGUUUGAUUAUUGCCUAGCUAGUCAAAAAGAGAUUUAUAGGCUCGCUUAAUCUAGGUUUGAGUUAUGUAUCGAGCUUAAGUUAAAUCAAAGACAUAACCUAUGGUUGUAGACGAAUGUAUUGGCAGGUGUUUGGACGUGGGUUCGACUCCCACCGGCUCCACCA
This 352-nucleotide transfer-messenger RNA is filed under the name Streptococcus infantarius subsp. infantarius CJ18. RNAcentral describes it as "transfer-messenger RNA Strep_infan_CJ18". It matches the Rfam family "transfer-messenger RNA". From Rfam's summary of the family: Bacterial tmRNA, also known as 10Sa RNA or SsrA, is named for its dual tRNA and mRNA-like properties. Its role is to liberate the mRNA from a stalled ribosome. To accomplish this part of the tmRNA is used as a reading frame that ends in a translation stop signal. Lineage: Bacteria; Bacillati; Bacillota; Bacilli; Lactobacillales; Streptococcaceae. The record is from RNAcentral.